This 381-nucleotide ribosomal RNA is filed under the name uncultured Desulfobulbus sp. RNAcentral describes it as "bacterial SSU rRNA". It matches the Rfam family "Bacterial small subunit ribosomal RNA", at positions 1003 to 1382 of the family's 1533-position model. Lineage: Bacteria; Pseudomonadati; Thermodesulfobacteriota; Desulfobulbia; Desulfobulbales; Desulfobulbaceae. The record is from RNAcentral.
GAGAUGGAUUGGUGCCUUCGGGAACUCUGACACAGGUGCUGCAUGGCUGGUCGUCAGCUCGUGUCGUGAGAUGUGGGUUAAGUCCCGCAACGAGCGCAACCCUUGCCUUUAGUUGCCAGCAGUUCGGCUGGGCACUCUAAAGGGACUGCCGGUGUUAAACCGGAGGAAGGUGGGGAGUGACGUCAAGUCCUCAUGGCCUUUAUGACCAGGGCUACACACGUACUACAAUGGCCGAUACAAAGGGCAGCGACACUGCGAGGUGAAGCCAAUCCCGUAAAAUACGGUCUCAGUCCGGAUUGGAGUCUGCAACUCGACUCCAUGAAGUUGGAAUCGCUAGUAAUCGUGGAUCAGCAUGCCACGGUGAAUACGUUCCCGGGCCUU